This 63-nucleotide transfer RNA is filed under the name Cichlidogyrus mbirizei. RNAcentral's name for it is "tRNA-His". The record is from RNAcentral. Lineage: Eukaryota; Metazoa; Platyhelminthes; Monogenea; Dactylogyridea; Ancyrocephalidae.
UCUGGGUUAGGUUAUUUAAACUCUUAGUUUGUGAUACUAAAAAUAUGCUUAGCAUACCCGGAA